GGCACUUAAUUACUGAGCUAUAUCCCCAACCUUUUUUUAAAAAUUUUUUAAAUUUUAAGACAGGGUCUUGCUAAGUUGCUGAGACUGGCUUUGAAAUUGUGAUGCUCCUGCUUCAGCCUCCUGAAGUUGCUGGAAUUACAGUUCUUUGUUUGGAAGCCAAGAACCUGGACCCCAACUGGACUCUUCACUGAUAUCACAUCUACUUCUUCAGAUUCAUCACUUCGAUGGUUUCUAUGGAGCCCUGUUGCCUUUGGAGGAGGGAGCUACCUGUAGAGUCUCAGGAUAGUUCACUCUCCCAGACUUUUUGAUGCAUUUCUUAAAAAAGAAGAGAAGCAAGAAGGGGAACUGGAGAGGAAUGAGGGAAAAAAUAAAAUAAAAGCUAAAUGUGAAUAGAUCAUCCUACUACACAUUGCACUUCACACAUUAACUGCCAAGACAGAUUCCCUGUUUUUCUUGAGUAGAAAUCAGACUUCCUUCUCUAAAUUGUACUUACUCAAAAAUUUAACAAAAAACAUACAAUCAGGAAGAAAAUUGAGAGAUCAUUCUGUUAAGCUGUCUGGCUUCAAGGUGCUGAGUCUUUGCUGGACAUUUCAGUAAAAUAAUUGAAAAACUUAUGUAAAAUAGUAUUAUAGGUGAUGGGGCAGGCUCCUAGGAUGAAAUAACAGGGUGCCUGAAGUUAAAUUAUUAUUAUUUUGUAGAAUAAGCAUCAGUUUUAUUUUGGAGGAUUAGGAUCAGUGGUAGGAAAACAAUUUGUGCAUGGGCCCCUUGGUGCAUGUCACCUUGGGAAAGGAUUGGGGGUUGGAGCAGAAUUGUGAGGCAAAGGAGGACUAGCUCUUGGCUCUGACUUGGCACACCUUUUCAGGGCCUGUGACAUGUUUUCCAGGCCCUACUGCCUAGUAUUUCAAAGCACCUAGUCAUUGCUGUCUGCAUCAGUCUCUAGUAAGGAAGGACAGGUCCUGACUCACAAGGUGUGAUCCAGAUCAUCACUAUCAUCAAUAGUAGGUUUGGAAGGAAAACAUCAAAUUGUGUGAAGGUGGGAGAAGUUAUCACAAAUUGUUAAUUCAUGACACUCUUAAGAAUAAUGGCAAUAUUAAAAACAAAACAAAAACGCAGGCUGGGGUUACAGCUCAGUGGCAGAGUAGUUGCCUAGCAUGCAUGAGGACCAAAAAAAAAAAAAAAUUAAAAAACAAACCCACUGCAUUCUAUGAGGCUGUUGUGAGAAGCAAACUAGGAAGGAAACCAAAUGCAGACCCUUUGAAUGCCACAGAAACAGGCCCCAGAUCAUGCAUCAACCCCUGUAUCAAAAUCAGAGCAUGAGACACUAGGGUGGGAGAGUGAUUGAAUUUCACAGAUUAAGAGCCUAUGAUGAGAAGCCAGGCAUGAUGAUGCAUGCUUGUAAAAUCAGCAACUCUGGAAGCAGGGUGGAUCACAAGUUGAAGGCCAGCCUCAGCAAUUUAGCAAGGCCUGAAGCAAUUUAGUCUCAAAAAAUAAAAAGGGCUGUGGAUGUAACCCAGUAGCUAAGUGCCCCCUGGGUUCAAUCCCCAGUACCAAAAAAAAAAAAAAAACAA
Molecule: long non-coding RNA, 1568 nt
Organism: Marmota monax (woodchuck)
Lineage: Eukaryota; Metazoa; Chordata; Mammalia; Rodentia; Sciuridae
Exons: 2
Source: RefSeq, a predicted model, not a curated record